UAAUUUAGGGCGAUCUGGCUGCGACAUCUGUCACCCCAUUGAUCGCCAGGGUUGAUUCGGCUGAUCUGGCUGGCUAGGCGAGUGUCCCCUUCCUCCCUCACCACUCCAUGUGCGUCCCUCCCGAAGCUGCGUGCUCAGUGGAAGAGGACGACCAUCCCAGAUAGAAGGAGUGUACCGUUCUUCAGUCAAGGGUAUACGAUAGCUGCGCUCCCCUGCUAGAACCUCCAAACAAGGUCCAUUUGUAGGAAAACAUAGGGUAGUCAAGUUUCCAAUUUUUUUUUAAAAAAAACUAACUCCUUU
Molecule: small nuclear RNA, 300 nt
Filed under: Podarcis lilfordi (Lilford's wall lizard)
Lineage: Eukaryota; Metazoa; Chordata; Lepidosauria; Squamata; Lacertidae
Description: 7SK RNA
Rfam family: 7SK RNA
About the family: 7SK was discovered as an abundant small nuclear RNA in the mid-70s but a possible function has only recently been suggested.
Source: Rfam by way of RNAcentral